AGACAGUGACUUACUCAAAGAUUUCCACUUCACAGACAAACAAAGUGAAGGUAUAUAAAGUCUGUGUUUCCAUCUCUGAGACAUCCUGUGACCAGAAACUGCUGCUGGAACAGACUCUUCAACUAACCAUCAAAACAAGAUGGCUGCCGGUCUUGUCUUCACUCUGCUUCUUGGUCUGAGCUUUGGACUCUGGGAUGGAGCUGAUGCCGUAUGUCAAGUGAGAGCUAACACACCACUUGACUGCCCUGCAGGCUGGACUUGGUACAACGGUCGCUGUUUUGUGUUUGUGAAAGACUUAAAGAGAUGG
Molecule: long non-coding RNA, 307 nt
Organism: Xiphophorus maculatus (southern platyfish)
Lineage: Eukaryota; Metazoa; Chordata; Actinopteri; Cyprinodontiformes; Poeciliidae
Exons: 4
Source: RefSeq, a predicted model, not a curated record